RNAcentral lists this ribosomal RNA (433 nucleotides) under uncultured bacterium. Its description in RNAcentral is "partial 16S ribosomal RNA". It matches the Rfam family "Bacterial small subunit ribosomal RNA", at positions 29 to 507 of the family's 1533-position model. The record is from RNAcentral.
AACGAACGCUGGCGGCAUGCCUAACACAUGCAAGUCGAACGAGACCUUCGGGCUUAGUGGCGCACGGGUGCGUAACGCGUGGGAACCUGCCCUUAGGUUCGGAAUAACUCCCCGAAAGGGGUGCUAAUACCGGAUAAUGUCUUCGGACCAAAGAUUUAUCGCCUUUGGAUGGUCCCCCGUUGGAUUAGCUAGUUGUGAGGGGAAAAGCCUAUCAAGGCGACGAUCCACAGCUGGUUUGAGAGGAUGAUCAGCCAAACUGGGGCUGGGACACGGCCCAGACUCCUACGGGAGGCAGCAGUGGGGAAUAUUGGAAAAUGGGCGAAAGCCUGAUCCAGCAAGGCCGCGUGAGUGAUGAAGGCCAUAGGGUUGUAAAGCUCUUUUACCCGGGAUGAUAAUGACAGUACCGGGAGAAUAAGCUCGGGCUAACUCCGGG